GAACAUUUUAAUUACUAGAUUACCAUAAGGAUACAAAAGGAUGUAGCUCAGGAACAACCAGAUGGAAGCAAUGCCUAGGGCAAGGUGUGGGAAAAAGGCACAGAGCUUACAUGCCCUCUCCAGAUGUGCCACCUUUCCACAUCGUCACAUGUUUACCAACCCAGAAGUUCUCUGAACACUGUCCUUUCGGGUUUUUGUGGAGGUUUCAUACAUGUAUACUGGCACAGCAGAUUUGAACCCCACGGUUCCCCAGUCACAGAGCAAGUGUGUAUUCAACAGCUCUUUCCCACAGUCCUUCACUAAGUUCAUGGGGCUAGUACUCAGAAGACUAGAGGCAUGGCACGAGAACUGAGAGAAUUCACCUCUGAGUAUCUGCAAGGAGGAAUGAGGAGCAGCAGAAAUGUUUCAGGUGUGCAAUAUAGAGAUUCAGCAAUUCUACACAUUACUCAGCGCUCAUCAUGCCCUGGGUCUCAUCUCAUGGGACCUUCCAGAGAGAAGUCAGCACCCACUGGGAGAACAGACUCUGUCCUCUGUGGAACUGGAAGAACUCGAUGAGGUCCAGUGGACAGCACAUCGACGACACUAUGACAGAUGUCAGAACAGGGAGCAGAGAAUUUGGAAUAAAAAUACAAAUAUAAGUAUGACAUGUCUCCAAACCUUUGUAACAGUUUUCCUUCCCAUGAAGUCCUAAAAAAAAAAUAAAUAAAAAAGAUAGAUAGAUAGAUAGAAAGAUAGAUAGAUUUGACAGAG
RNAcentral lists this long non-coding RNA (750 nucleotides) under Mustela putorius furo (domestic ferret). RNAcentral's name for it is "lncRNA (ENSMPUG00000029992.1)". Lineage: Eukaryota; Metazoa; Chordata; Mammalia; Carnivora; Mustelidae. The record is from RNAcentral.